GGGGAUUUAGCUCAGCGGUAGAGCACUUGCCUAGUAAGCGCAAGGCCCUGGGUUCGGUCCCCAGCCCUG
Molecule: transfer RNA, 69 nt
Filed under: Rattus norvegicus (Norway rat)
Lineage: Eukaryota; Metazoa; Chordata; Mammalia; Rodentia; Muridae
Rfam family: tRNA
About the family: Transfer RNA (tRNA) molecules are approximately 80 nucleotides in length. Their secondary structure includes four short double-helical elements and three loops (D, anti-codon, and T loops).
Source: Rfam by way of RNAcentral